Molecule: ribosomal RNA, 119 nt
Filed under: Salmo salar (Atlantic salmon)
Lineage: Eukaryota; Metazoa; Chordata; Actinopteri; Salmoniformes; Salmonidae
Source: RNAcentral
GCUUACGGCCAUAUCAGCCUGGGUACGCCCGAUCUCGUCUGAUCUCGGAAGCUAAGCAGGGUCGGGCCUAGUUAGUACUUGGAUGGGAGACCGCCUGGGAAUACCAGGUGCUGUAAGCA